RNAcentral lists this ribosomal RNA (490 nucleotides) under uncultured bacterium. Its description in RNAcentral is "partial 16S ribosomal RNA". It matches the Rfam family "Bacterial small subunit ribosomal RNA", at positions 29 to 505 of the family's 1533-position model. The record is from RNAcentral.
AGUGAGCGCUGGCGGUAGGCCUAACACAUGCAAGUCGAACGGCAGCACAGUAAGAGCUUGCUCUUACGGGUGGCGAGUGGCGGACGGGUGAGGAAUACAUCGGAAUCUACUUUUUCGUGGGGGAUAACGUAGGGAAACUUACGCUAAUACCGCAUACGACCUACGGGUGAAAGCAGGGGAUCUUCGGACCUUGCGCGAUUGAAUGAGCCGAUGUCGGAUUAGCUAGUUGGCGGGGUAAAGGCCCACCAAGGCGACGAUCCGUAGCUGGUCUGAGAGGAUGAUCAGCCACACUGGAACUGAGACACGGUCCAGACUCCUACGGGAGGCAGCAGUGGGGAAUAUUGGACAAGGGGCGCAAGCCUGAUCCAGCCAUACCGCGUGGGUGAAGAAGGCCUUCGGGUUGCAAAGCCCUUUUGUUGGGAAAGAAAAGCAGCAGGUUAAUACCCCGCUGUUCUGACGGUACCCAAAGAAUAAGCACCGGCUAACUUCG